RNAcentral lists this long non-coding RNA (5296 nucleotides) under Manihot esculenta (cassava). RNAcentral's name for it is "long non-coding RNA (MESC_LNC006267)". Lineage: Eukaryota; Viridiplantae; Streptophyta; Magnoliopsida; Malpighiales; Euphorbiaceae. The record is from RNAcentral.
UGUUGCUUUUAAAUUGCUUGAGUAAUAUAUUGUUUGAAUAAUUUAGGUCCGUAAUUGCUUAGAUUAUUUAAACACAAAUAUAAUCGGUUGCAUAAUCUAAACUUGACCACGCGGUUGGCAAGGUUAGAGUUGGGUUCCUCUAAGUCCUAAUGCAGUUAACAGUUGUUCGAUGCUAAAAGCCCCAAGGACGUUCCUUGGCAACUUGUUAACUAGAGUUUGAGUAGCGAACGUUUCCUAAUCAAACUAAAACUAAGGAGGAAUUUGGAUUGUGAGAAGCGUCUUCCACGUCCUAAACUAACUUAUUGAAAUAAAUAAGAGUAUCAAAAAGAUCAAUGAUCAAUUCUAAACAAGCUGAAAUAGAUCCAUGCUUCAACUAGAAUCCUUCUCCCAUUGAAAUUCUCAUCUUUUUAAAUUAUUGUUUUUUCUUGCUAUUUAAUAUUAAUUCAUCAAAUCAAACCCCCCUCUUUUAAUUACUUGGUAUUUACUUAUCCAAGUCAUUAAUAGGAAAAUUCGUAGUGUCAAAUCCCUGUGGUUCGACUCUAUUGCCACUAUCUACAAGUUAAUUGUUGAUUGUUUAAUAGGUUUAUUUUUUACGGCUUCGACAACCGUUAUCAAAAAUUGGCACCGUUGCCGGGGAUUUGAUCUAACUAACGUAUUUUCCUUUUAUGACCAGGGCUGAUCGUAAAUAAGCUCUUCUUUACGAUCUAGAAAUUGAACGCACUGCCAAGACCUUACAAGCAUGGCUACGGCUCUCUUCUCAAAUUUCUGAACUAACCUCUAUUGUGAGGAAUUAUGGUAUAGGUCAAGCUCAACAAGUUCAACAACUUCAGCGAAACAGACCAUGUGAGAUUUGCACAUAUGUAGGACACCCAACUGAUCGAUGUCCUACACUUUAUGUGGAUUACCAGCAAGUCAUGCCUUUGGAAGAUUCAAUAGCCAGCCAAGACAUGAUCCCUACCUUAAUACCUACAAUCCAUGUUGGAGGGACCACCCGAAUUAUGACUAUGCAAGGGCUAACUACUACCAAAACUAUCAAGCCCAAGCAACACCUCAAAACUCCAAUAUGGAACUUGAAGAGAUGGUGAGGAAAUUGGAAAUUUCUGGGAAAAUUCUCCAACAGCAAGUGGAUCAAGCGGUCAACUCAGUGAACGCGCACAUAUUAAGAAGAGAGGAAGAGCUUCAAGAUCUAUGGGACGAUGACGAAGGUUCCCAAGAAACAGACCGAGCUAUUGAGUCUGCUGCACAAAUCACCACUACACUUGAAGCUGAACCAGCUACGGCCCAAACAACACUUGUUGAAGCUUCUGCCUCCCAAGAGAUAGCCCCUGCUGUAAAAAAUAUUAAAUUUAUUGCUGUAACACUUUCCACACGUACUGUCCAAACUGCCGAAGCAAAGACAGCAACUGCUGUCGAACAUGCCAAAGCCCCUGCUGCAGAUUUUUCUGCACCAACAGAAUUUUCUGCACCAGCAAAUUCACCCACUGUCACACCCGCCACUGCUGAAAUUGCACCGGCAAUUGCUGAACCUGCUGUCCAAAAAUCAGCAAGUGCUGAAUCUGCCACCAUUGCAUCCCUUGUUGCUGUCCAAACACCAGCAACCUCAGAAAUUGACUCAACUGAACUAGAAGUUGUUGCACUUACUGAACCAGCAACAUACACCACUGAAACAGCACAGCCUGCUUCCUCUGCUGUUGUCCAAAAUCCAGAAUUUGCUGCUGUCCAAGUUGCUGAAAACAGAGACAACAACUGCUGUCAAACCGCCACAACCACUGCUGCCCCCAAAUCAACAAUCCUGGCAGAGUCCAGCUCCAAACAGACCAAGGCAGACCAGCAACCAAUGGAAAAAUUUAAGGUACCUCCUCCCUUCCCAAAGAGAUUUGCAAGAUCACAAAAAGAAAAAGAAGAGAAAGAAAUACUUGCAACCUUUCGCAAAGUGGAGAUCAAUAUACAUUUGUUUGAUGCUAUCAAACAAAUACCAAGGGACACCAGCCAGGAGAAUGAGGAGAAGAAAAUUUUGAAAGAAACAAGAACGGAAGAGCCAACAUGCUGCACAGACUGGUCCAGAGGCGAUUUGCUCAAAUCACUUGAACAGGCAGACUGUUGUCUGCCCAAACAGCUAGCAAAGGCAGAACAGGCAAGCCUCUGUUUGCCCAAACAAGUCCAACAGCCAGUUGAGACAGAUGACAGCCUGCCCAAAUCACUUCGGCAAGCAGAAAAUAGGAUACCCAGACCAGUUGGGCAAACAGCUCCUGAACAGCCAGCAAAGAAGCAACAAGUGGGACAAAUGGCUUCAUCCUUUAGUAAGCUUGAAUCACAAGGACAGCUACCUUCCCAAACUGAAAUAAAUCUAAGGCAAAAUGCUAGUGCCAUCACAUUGAGGAGCAGAAAAGAGUUGCAAGACAGUAGGACUGAAAAAUUACAAAAACAGGCCUUGGAAGAAAAUCUGCAAGAAAGUGAUCAGGGCAGUCGAUCUGCCCAAAUCACUGACCCAAUCGCUAGGCAGACUGAGCUGCCCAGCAGUGAUCUGCCCAGAUCACCAACACAAGCAGAUUUUGACUUGCCCAAAUCGCUGGAGCAGACAAACAGGACAGACAGUGAUCUGCCCAGAUCACCUGAAGCAGCACCAGAUGAUCUGCCCAAAUCAACCAGCAGACAGCAGACAGCAAACCAGAAGACAGCAACCACCCCGGAUCUGAAGACUCUGCCCGGACACCACAAAUAUACCUACUUGGAGGCUGGAAAUACACUUCCAGUCAUAGUAUCCAAUCAACUCAGCCAGCAAGAAGAGGAAAAACUCCUAAAGGUGUUGAGGAAACACAAGAAAGCAAUUGGGUGGACCUUGGAGGACAUUAAAGGCACCUCAAGACCAUUCGGUGGAGGCUCAUCUCACUAGAAUCAAGGACAGAAUGCAGCAUAUGGAAAGCAUGCUGCAACUGCUGGUGGACCAUUUUCUGCCCCACCACUAUGACAGACAGUGAUUUGGCGAGUGAUUUGCCCAAAUCACUGGCCAAAUCACCCCCAGGCCAGGAAGUCCCUUUCCCUUUCCUUCUUAAUUUAUAUAUAUAUAUGUUCACACAUUGAGGACAAUGUUUGCAUUAGGUGUGGGAGUACUAUUAGGUGUGGGGGUACUGUUAGGUUAUUUUUGCAUUGAUUACAUUAUCUUUUGCUUUCUUUUUGUUUCUUUUUGCAUCUUUUUACCCUAUAAACACACACCAAAAAUUUGUUCUUUCACACAUUUUUUUUUUGCACACAUUUUUUCACUUUCUGUACACACACACAGAAUUUUGUCUUAACUUUUGCUCUACUCAACAUAGAUAACAAGGUUAAAAGAGUUUCUUAUCUCAUGAACCCAUUGAUUUUCUACCCCUUUAAGCCUAAAUUGAAUCAUUCACAAUAUGUUACCUUCACUUAGGGAGUUUUUUUCUCUUGAAUUGAAUCUUUAAAUCUGCUAAGGUCAAUGGAAAUAAAAAUACAAAUACAUGCAAAUAAAAAGUUAGUGUAACUCCCUAUGAGCUGAUUUGCCCAAACUAUCAUGAAAAAGAAAAGAAAAAGAAAAACCAGCACAAAGCACAAAUCAUAAACCUGUUCCAAUGGUCUAAGACUAUGAACUGAGCUAAUAGUCACUUGGACAAGUGACCAACUAAGUAACCGGGGGUGUAUCACCCAUAUGCACCAUCGCGUAAAAAGGUUGGUGACUUUUUCAAGCAAAAAUAAGUUUCGAUGGUCUAAGAUUAUGAACAGAGCUAGUAGCCACUUGGACAAGUGACCAACUGAGUAACCGGGGGUGUAUCACCCAUAUGCACCAUCGCAUAAAAAGGUUGGUGACUUUUCCAGGCAAGGAUAAAAAGUGCUGCUAAAUAAAAAUGCUUAAAAUGGGGCAAGUUACUCUUAAGGGGUUGCACUAAGCCUAAUAUAAAAGAAUAAGCAUGAUUGAAUCAAAAACCUUUCUCUUGACCAUAGUAGGUGAAAGGAAACAAGGAAAGGAGAGGGCAACCUUGGUGCAUGUACUCUAUACUGUGAUACUUCAGCUUAGGAGUCUAGGGGGGCUGAUUAAGUGGUACUUGGGCUCAAAAGAAAAAGGAGCUUGAUUGACUAAGUUAUUUAUUGCUUGAGGACAAGCAAAAAGUUAGGUGUGGGGGUAUUUGAUCAAGCAUAAUUUAGCCACAUUUUUAUUAUAUUUAUUAUUGUUUAUUUACACAUUUUUUAGCUUAAUUUAUGGUUUUUACCUUGUUUUUACAGAAAAGGAAGAAAUUGGAAAACUGGAGAAAAAGUGCAGAAAAUGACAGAAAAGUGAUUGGGUCAGUAACUUGGCCAAAUCACUGCCCAGAUCAAGCUAAAGCAGAAACCUGAACUAUCUCACAGGAGUCUGAUUGAGCCAAAUCACUGGCCAAGUCACCCGCAGGAACAGAAACCUGGAGGCAACACGCAGAAAUGAUUUGGGCAUGACGAUUUGCCCAAAUCACUGCCCAAAUCAAGUGGAGGAAGCAGAGACAGAAAGCUAAAAACUGGACUGACUCACAGAAAGCGAUUGGGGCAGCGAUCUACCCAAAUCACCGCCCCAAUCACAUUGACAGCAGAAAUUGACAGCAGAGGAGGGAAAGGAGCAGAAAAUCUGAAUUCAAAGAAAAGACGUCCAAAUCAAUUUCAAACACCACAAGAUCAGUCCCAAGAGCCACGCCCUUCACUUAGAGAGUUCCAUUCUCAAUUAAAUACAAAAUCCAAAGAGGAAUCAAAGACUACAAAGAAGACCAAAUCAAAUUGAGAUUUCAAAACCCUAAUCAAAUGGGAAUUGGGAUUCUCCAGCUAUAAAAGGGCAGCAUCCAAACCAGCAAAACAUCAUCUCUCAGCUUCAGAAAUUCUCCAGAAUCACAGCAGCCUUUCUUUUCUCCUAUCUUUUGUGAUUUAGUCCACCAUGAGUGGCUAAAUUCCAUUCUUUUCUAGUUGAAAUUGGUGAAUUUCAGAUUUGUGAUGAAUUGGGAGAUUUAAAUCUCCAUUAUUAAACUCUUAUUUACCUUCAAUAUUUAUACAACUUGAUCUUUCUAUAAUUAUUACUUUGCUUUUAGAAUCAAUUAAGGCCUGUUGCUUUUAAAUUGCUUGAGUAAUAUAUUGUUUGAAUAAUUUAGGUCCGUAAUUGCUUAGAUUAUUUAAACACAAAUAUAAUCGGUUGCAUAAUCUAAACUUGACCACGCAGUUGGCAAGGUUAGAGUUGGGUUCCUCUAAGUCCUAAUGCAGUUAACAGUUGUUCGAUGCUAAAAGCCCCAAGGACGUUCCUUGGCAACUUGUUAACUAGAGUUUG